Molecule: transfer RNA, 77 nt
Filed under: Staphylococcus haemolyticus
Lineage: Bacteria; Bacillati; Bacillota; Bacilli; Caryophanales; Staphylococcaceae
Also listed under: 2 other names
Description: tRNA-Met
Rfam family: tRNA
About the family: Transfer RNA (tRNA) molecules are approximately 80 nucleotides in length. Their secondary structure includes four short double-helical elements and three loops (D, anti-codon, and T loops). Further hydrogen bonds mediate the characteristic L-shaped molecular structure. tRNAs have two regions of fundamental functional importance: the anti-codon, which is responsible for specific mRNA codon recognition, and the 3' end, to which the tRNAs corresponding amino acid is attached (by aminoacyl-tRNA synthetases). tRNAs cope with the degeneracy of the genetic code in two manners: having more than one tRNA (with a specific anti-codon) for a particular amino acid; and 'wobble' base-pairing, i.e. permitting non-standard base-pairing at the 3rd anti-codon position.
Source: RNAcentral
GGUUCUGUAGCUUAGUUGGUUAGAGCGCUUCCCUCAUAAGGAAGAGGUCGCAGGUUCAAUCCCUGCCAGAACUACCA